RNAcentral lists this ribosomal RNA (203 nucleotides) under uncultured bacterium. Its description in RNAcentral is "partial 16S ribosomal RNA". It matches the Rfam family "Bacterial small subunit ribosomal RNA", at positions 524 to 725 of the family's 1533-position model. The record is from RNAcentral.
UACGUAAGGUGCAAGCGUUGUCCGGAAUUAUUGGGUGUAAAGAGCUCGUAGGCGGUUUUGUUGCGUCGGCUGUGAAAUCCCGAGGCUCAACCUCGGGUCUGCAGUCGAUACGAGCAAACUAGAGUGUUGCAGGGGAGACUGGAAUUCCUGGUGUAGCGGUGAAAUGCGCAGAUAUCAGGAGGAACACCGGUGGCGAAGGCGGG